CAGUCGCCGCGGGAAUACGUAGGUCCCGAGCGUUGUCCGGAUUUAUUGGGCGUAAAGCGAGCGCAGGCGGUUAGAUAAGUCUGAAGUUAAAGGCUGUGGCUUAACCAUAGUACGCUUUGGAAACUGUUUAACUUGAGUGCAAGAGGGGAGAGUGGAAUUCCAUGUGUAGCGGUGAAAUGCGUAGAUAUAUGGAGGAACACCGGUGGCGAAAGCGGCUCUCUGGCUUGUAACUGACGCUGAGGCUCGAAAGCGUGGGGAGCAAACAGGAUUAGAGACCCGUGUAGUCCCUGUCUCUUAUACA
This 301-nucleotide ribosomal RNA is filed under the name uncultured bacterium. RNAcentral describes it as "partial 16S ribosomal RNA". It matches the Rfam family "Bacterial small subunit ribosomal RNA", at positions 509 to 808 of the family's 1533-position model. The record is from RNAcentral.